RNAcentral lists this ribosomal RNA (484 nucleotides) under uncultured bacterium. RNAcentral's name for it is "partial 16S ribosomal RNA". It matches the Rfam family "Bacterial small subunit ribosomal RNA", at positions 29 to 523 of the family's 1533-position model. The record is from RNAcentral.
AGUGAACGCUGGCGGCGUGCUUAACACAUGCAAGUCGAACGAGAACGGAUUAUAGCUUGCUAUAAUUGUCAGCUAAGUGGCGCACGGGUGAGUAAUGUAUAGGUAAUAUGCCUCUUACUAAGGGAUAACAAUUGGAAACGAUUGCUAAUACCUUAUAUUCCUUUUUAUUAAAAGAUAAAAAGGGAAAGAUUUAUCGGUAAGAGAUUAGCCUGUAUUGUAUCAGUUAGUUGGUGGGGUAAUGGCCUACCAAGACGAUGACGCAUAACUGGUUUGAGAGGAUGAUCAGUCACACUGGAACUGAGACACGGUCCAGACUCCUACGGGAGGCAGCAGUGGGGAAUAUUGCACAAUGGACGAAAGUCUGAUGCAGCAACGCCGCGUGGAGGAUGACACAUUUCGGUGCGUAAACUCCUUUUAUAUAAGAAGAUAAUGACGGUAUUAUAUGAAUAAGCACCGGCUAACUCCGUGCCAGCCGCCGCCGUAA